Molecule: regulatory RNA element, 83 nt
Organism: Bacillus infantis NRRL B-14911
Lineage: Bacteria; Bacillati; Bacillota; Bacilli; Caryophanales; Bacillaceae
Rfam family: c-di-GMP-I riboswitch aptamer
About the family: GEMM was predicted in a large-scale screen for bacterial structured RNA regulatory elements. Genes associated with GEMM are involved in a diverse array of functions, including chemotaxis regulation, signal transduction, secretion and chitin.
Source: Rfam
CUAUAUAAGUGGCAAAUUUUAUGAAAGUAAAAGACGCAAAGCUGCGGGCCUAAGGCUUUUGCUAUGGCAGCCGGGCUGCUUGC